GAUGAACGCUGGCGGCGUGCCUAAUACAUGCAAGUCGAGCGCAAAGAUAAGGAGCUUGCUCCUUUGAUUUGAGCGGCGGACGGGUGAGUAACACGUAGGCAACCUACCCUUGAGAUUGGGAUAACUACCGGAAACGGUAGCUAAUACCGGAUACGACCUUUCUGCAUAAGCGGACUGGUUAAAAGGCGGAUUUAUCUGCCGCUCAUGGAUGGGCCUGCGGUGCAUUAGCUAGUUGGUGAGAUAGUAGCUCACCAAGGCGACGAUGCAUAGCCGACCUGAGAGGGUGAUCGGCCACACUGGGACUGAGACACGGCCCAGACUCCUACGGGAGGCAGCAGUAGGGAAUCUUCCGCAAUGGACGCAAGUCUGGCGGAGCAACGCCGCGUGAGUGAUGAAGGGUUUCGGCUCGUAAAACUCUGUUGUUAAGGAAGAAUACUUGAGGUAGUAACUGGCCUUGAG
RNAcentral lists this ribosomal RNA (459 nucleotides) under uncultured bacterium. Its description in RNAcentral is "bacterial SSU rRNA". It matches the Rfam family "Bacterial small subunit ribosomal RNA", at positions 28 to 483 of the family's 1533-position model. The record is from RNAcentral.